RNAcentral lists this ribosomal RNA (423 nucleotides) under uncultured Clostridium sp. RNAcentral's name for it is "bacterial SSU rRNA". It matches the Rfam family "Bacterial small subunit ribosomal RNA", at positions 355 to 794 of the family's 1533-position model. The record is from RNAcentral. Lineage: Bacteria; Bacillati; Bacillota; Clostridia; Eubacteriales; Clostridiaceae.
UGGGGGAUAUUGCGCAAUGGGGGGCAACCCUGACGCAGCAACGCCGCGUGAAGGAAGAAGGUUUUCGGAUCGUAAACUUCUUUAAGUGUGGAAGAAGAUGACGGUACACACAGAAUAAGCCACGGCUAACUACGUGCCAGCAGCCGCGGUAAUACGUAGGUGGCGAGCGUUGUCCGGAUUUACUGGGUGUAAAGGGCGUGUAGGCGGGUGAACAAGUCAGAUGUGAAAUACCGGGGCUCAACUCCGGGGCUGCAUUUGAAACUGUUUAUCUUGAGUGCCGGAGAGGAAAGCGGAAUUCCUAGUGUAGCGGUGAAAUGCGUAGAUAUUAGGAGGAACACCAGUGGCGAAGGCGGCUUUCUGGACGGUAACUGACGCUGAGGCGCGAAAGCAUGGGGAGCAAACAGGAUUAGAUACCCUGGUAGU